UGGGGAAUUUUGGACAAUGGGCGAAAGCCUGAUCCAGCAAUGCCGCGUGUGUGAAGAAGGCCUUCGGGUUGUAAAGCACUUUUGUCCGGAAAGAAAUCCUUGGCUCUAAUACAGUCGGGGGAUGACGGUACCGGAAGAAUAAGCACCGGCUAACUACGUGCCAGCAGCCGCGGUAAUACGUAGGGUGCAAGCGUUAAUCGGAAUUACUGGGCGUAAAGCGUGCGCAGGCGGUUUGCUAAGACCGAUGUGAAAUCCCCGGGCUCAACCUGGGAACUGCAUUGGUGACUGGCAGGCUAGAGUAUGGCAGAGGGGGGUAGAAUUCCACGUGUAGCAGUGAAAUGCGUAGAGAUGUGGAGGAAUACCGAUGGCGAAGGCAGCCCCCUGGGCCAAUACUGACGCUCAUGCACGAAAGUGUGGGGAGCAAACAGGAUUAGAUACCCUGGUAGUCCACGCCCUAAACGAUGUCAACUAGUUGUUGGGGAUUCAUUUCCUUAGUAACGUAGCUAACGCGUGAAGUUGACCGCCUGGGGAGUACGGUCGCAAGAUUAAAACUUAAAGGAAUUGACGGGGUCAUAGCUGUUUCCU
RNAcentral lists this ribosomal RNA (585 nucleotides) under uncultured bacterium. Its description in RNAcentral is "partial 16S ribosomal RNA". It matches the Rfam family "Bacterial small subunit ribosomal RNA", at positions 355 to 1375 of the family's 1533-position model. The record is from RNAcentral.